AAUUUCAUAAAUAAAAAAGAAAAUUUCUUCAAACAUUUUUUUGAGAGGAUUAAUAUUCAACAGCAUAGUGAAUUGCUCUAAGAGAAAACAAAAAUUUUAAGUUCAUUAGAACACAUUCAUUCUGUGUCAGAAACCUAUGCUGUGUCAACUAUUUAAUCACAAUCCAAAUUUAGAGCUGAAUCCAGCUUGAAUGUUGUGUCCAUACUUGCCCCAACCGUUCAGGGUUCAACCUCUGCGGUCGUAUAAAGCUAUGCCCU
Molecule: long non-coding RNA, 257 nt
Filed under: Mytilus galloprovincialis (Mediterranean mussel)
Lineage: Eukaryota; Metazoa; Mollusca; Bivalvia; Mytilida; Mytilidae
Source: RNAcentral